GGAUCAGUACGCUGGUCGUGCCUUGUGUAUGUACUGGUGUUACUGGUUCCUACCUUCUGAAGAACCGUCAUGUCAUUAAUUUGGUGUGGCGGGGAAUCAGGACUGUUACUUUGAAAAAAUUAGAGUGUUCAAAGCAGGCGUAACCUGGCCUUGAAUACAUUAGCAUGGGAUAAUAGAAUA
This 180-nucleotide ribosomal RNA is filed under the name uncultured Glomeromycotina. RNAcentral describes it as "partial small subunit ribosomal RNA". The record is from RNAcentral. Lineage: Eukaryota; Fungi; Glomeromycota.